Molecule: small nuclear RNA, 108 nt
Organism: Nycticebus coucang (slow loris)
Lineage: Eukaryota; Metazoa; Chordata; Mammalia; Primates; Lorisidae
Source: RefSeq, a predicted model, not a curated record
GUACUGGCUUCAGCGGCACAUGUGCUCAAAUUGGAAUGCUACAGAGAAGAGUGGCAUGGCCCUGCGCCAGGAUGACACACAAAUCUGUGAGUGUUGUUUCAGGAUAAU